UCGUGGCCGAGUGGUUUAAGGCACCGGACUCAUAAUCCGUUUUCCUCUGGAUAUCACUGGUUCAAAUCCAGUCGGGUG
RNAcentral lists this transfer RNA (78 nucleotides) under Fragilariopsis kerguelensis. It matches the Rfam family "tRNA", at positions 6 to 65 of the family's 71-position model. Rfam says of the family: Transfer RNA (tRNA) molecules are approximately 80 nucleotides in length. Their secondary structure includes four short double-helical elements and three loops (D, anti-codon, and T loops). Lineage: Eukaryota; Bacillariophyta; Bacillariophyceae; Bacillariales; Bacillariaceae. The record is from RNAcentral.